RNAcentral lists this unclassified non-coding RNA (253 nucleotides) under uncultured Alphaproteobacteria bacterium. RNAcentral describes it as "contains 16S-23S intergenic spacer region". It matches the Rfam family "Bacterial small subunit ribosomal RNA", at positions 524 to 776 of the family's 1533-position model. The record is from RNAcentral. Lineage: Bacteria; Pseudomonadati; Pseudomonadota; Alphaproteobacteria.
UACGGAGGGGGCUAGCGUUGUUCGGAAUUACUGGGCGUAAAGGGCACGUAGGCGGACUGUUAAGUCGGAGGUGAAAUCCUGAGGCUCAACCUCAGAAUUGCCUUCGAUACUGGCGGUCUUGAGUACGGGAGAGGUGAGUGGAAUUCCCAGUGUAGAGGUGAGAUUCGUAGAUAUUGGGAAGAACACCAGUGGCGAAGGCGGCUCACUGGCUCGGCACUGACGCUGAGGUGCGAAAGUGUGGGGAGCAAACAGG